RNAcentral lists this ribosomal RNA (253 nucleotides) under uncultured bacterium. RNAcentral's name for it is "partial 16S ribosomal RNA". It matches the Rfam family "Bacterial small subunit ribosomal RNA", at positions 795 to 1052 of the family's 1533-position model. The record is from RNAcentral.
CCACGCCGUAAACGAUGAGUGCUAGGUGUCGGGAGUCAAAUCUCGGUGCCGCAGUUAACGCAAUAAGCACUCCGCCUGGGGAGUACGUACGCAAGUAUGAAACUCAAAGGAAUUGACGGGGACCCGCACAAGCAGCGGAGCAUGUGGUUUAAUUCGAAGCUACGCGAAGAACCUUACCAGGUCUUGACAUCGAGUGACGAGCAAAGAGAUUUGCUUUUCCUUCGGGACACGAAGACAGGUGGUGCAUGGUUGU